This 490-nucleotide ribosomal RNA is filed under the name uncultured bacterium. RNAcentral's name for it is "partial 16S ribosomal RNA". It matches the Rfam family "Bacterial small subunit ribosomal RNA", at positions 30 to 507 of the family's 1533-position model. The record is from RNAcentral.
AUUGAACGCUGGCGGCAGGCCUAACACAUGCAAGUCGAACGGUAACAGGAAGCAGCUUGCUGCUUCGCUGACGAGUGGCGGACGGGUGAGUAAUGUCUGGGAAGCUGCCUGAUGGAGGGGGAUAACUACUGGAAACGGUAGCUAAUACCGCAUAAUGUCGCAAGACCAAAGAGGGGGACCUUCGGGCCUCUUGCCAUCGGAUGUGCCCAGAUGGGAUUAGCUUGUUGGUGGGGUAACGGCUCACCAAGGCGACGAUCCCUAGCUGGUCUGAGAGGAUGACCAGCCACACUGGAACUGAGACACGGUCCAUACUCCUACGGGAGGCAGCAGUGGGGAAUAUUGCACAAUGGGCGCAAGCCUGAUGCAGCCAUGCCGCGUGUAUGAAGAAGGCCUUCGGGUUGUAAAGUACUUUCAGCGGGGAGGAAGGGAGUAAAGUUAAUACCUUUGCUCAUUGACGUUACCCGCAGAAGAAGCACCGGCUAACUCCGUG